GACGGAGGUGCUGGAGGUUGGCGAGGUUUGAGGGUGGGCAGAUCUGUGCGCGUGGGGGGCAGGGGCGUGUCCCUGGCGUGGCGAGUGGGGAAAGAACUGGAUUCCUUUCUUCGUACAGGGUGGCGAAGGUGCUUGGGGUUGUCGAGGUUGAGGACGGGAGGAUCUGUGCGCGUGUGGGGGGGUGUCCUCGGCAUGACGAGCGGGGGAAAAGGUCUG
RNAcentral lists this long non-coding RNA (216 nucleotides) under Sorghum bicolor (sorghum). Its description in RNAcentral is "long non-coding RNA (SBIC_LNC003367)". The record is from RNAcentral. Lineage: Eukaryota; Viridiplantae; Streptophyta; Magnoliopsida; Poales; Poaceae.